Molecule: non-coding RNA, 795 nt
Organism: Lactuca sativa (garden lettuce)
Lineage: Eukaryota; Viridiplantae; Streptophyta; Magnoliopsida; Asterales; Asteraceae
Source: RefSeq, a predicted model, not a curated record
GGAAUGCUUCCUCCAGCGAAGUAGUAGUUGUGUACAGGGGAAAAGGCGAAUCUGUUUUAUCUCUAUCCUUCUUAAUUCUCGAGUCAUCGAUGUUCGCUGGGUGGAGAUGCUUAAAACUCAAGUGUUUCCCCUGCUUCUCAGUAGAACCUUUUAUCAGUGGCAUUAUGGGGAAGAAAUGAGCUCUUGUAGCUCAGCCAUAAAAAAAAAGCACAAAGAGAUGAUGAUGGUCCUUCUGGAUUCAUGCUGACAUAUGCUUCAAGUUAUUAAAUUAUUUACUCUGAAUAGCUGCCCAUCAUCCACAUAAUCAUUCCGUAAGGCGAUGCCUGGAACCCACCUUGGUUUGCCAAUUAAUUACUUCCUAUUUAAAAAUUGAUAUGAAAUUGUUUAGUUUGUAGGGAUAAAUGAAUGCUAAUCUAAGAGUACUAUAAACACCCAAAUAAUCAGUGUUAAAACAGUAGAUACUUACUCCCUCCGUGCGAAAAAAUGCCAUAUAUGCUUGACAUCUAAUUUGAUAAAAAAUGUUACCCUUAAUCAAAUUUCCAAAAUGCCCAAUUAAGGAAACCUGUUGACCACAGUGAACUUCUGCAGUAAUGGUUUUUGUGCAUUUUUUCUUUUGUUUUGUUGUGAUAAUGUUCAGUAAAGUAGAGAUUAAUCUUCAUUUUUAGAAGUUUGUUGAACAAUUAUUGUUUUGAAUUUUAUAAAGGUGUAUUAAUCAUCAUACGGUUUUGUAUUAGAAAAUUGAAGCCUUAUGUAUUUCAUUAUUUUAAAAAAAAUGUUUGACACUUCUCUUAAAAA